GGGGUUGUGGCUCAAGCAGUAGCGCGCUCGCCUAGCAUGCGUGCGGCCCGGGUUCGAUCCUCAGCAGCACCA
Molecule: non-coding RNA, 72 nt
Organism: Ictidomys tridecemlineatus (thirteen-lined ground squirrel)
Lineage: Eukaryota; Metazoa; Chordata; Mammalia; Rodentia; Sciuridae
Source: Rfam